RNAcentral lists this long non-coding RNA (656 nucleotides) under Physcomitrium patens. RNAcentral's name for it is "long non-coding RNA (PPAT_LNC010142)". The record is from RNAcentral. Lineage: Eukaryota; Viridiplantae; Streptophyta; Bryopsida; Funariales; Funariaceae.
UAGUUUAAUCCUAGUUAAAAUCUUAUUGGACUUCAAUCAAACUUUAGGCCAAAAACUAACUAAAUUUUAAAUUCUAAACAAAUCCUAAUUUCUAAAUUAACUCCUAAUCAAAUCCUAAUCAUAAAUCAAAUCCUAAUCAAAUCUUAAAUCCUAAAUCAAAACUUAAUCAAAUCCUAACCCUAAAUCAAAUCCUAAUCAAAUUCUAAAUCCUAAACCAAAUCCUAAUCAAAUCCUAAACUCUAAAUCAAAGCCUAAUCAAAUCUUAAAUCCUAAAUCAAAUCCUAAUAAAAUCCUAAAUCAAAUCCUAAUCAAAUCCUAAUCAAAUCCUAAAUCCUAAAUUAAAACUUAAUCAAAUCCUAACCCUAAAUCAAAUCCUAACCAAAUUCUAAAUCCUAAACCAAACUCUAAUAAAAUCUUAAAUUCUAAACCAAAGCCUAAUCAAAUUUUAAAUCCUAAAUUAAAUCCUAAUCAAAUCCUAAUCAAACUCUAAAUCCUAAACCAAAUCCUAACCAAUUCCAAGUAAUUUCUAUAACAGAUUUAAACCUCAAUAACUAAUGAAUGAACUAUUGAUUUUAACUCAAAAUUUGCGUGUUUUUUAACAAUUUAGUUGAUAACAAAUAAAAAAAAAUGAAAAAGAUCAAAAUUACUAAAUAGAC